UACGGAGGGUGCAAGCGUUAUCCGGAUUUACUGGGCUUAAAGGGUGCGCAGGCGGAUAUGUAAGUCAGUGGUGAAAUCUCUAGGCUUAACCUGGAAAUUGCCGUUGAUACUAUAUAUCUUGAAUGUUGUGGAGGUAAGCAGAAUAUGUCAUGUAGCGGUGAAAUGCUUAGAUAUGACAUAGAAUACCUAUUGCGAAGGCAGCUUACUACGCAGAUAUUGACGCUCAUGCACGAAAGCGUGGGGAUCAAACAGG
Molecule: ribosomal RNA, 253 nt
Filed under: uncultured bacterium
Lineage: Bacteria
Description: partial 16S ribosomal RNA
Rfam family: Bacterial small subunit ribosomal RNA
Source: RNAcentral